RNAcentral lists this ribosomal RNA (397 nucleotides) under uncultured bacterium. Its description in RNAcentral is "partial 16S ribosomal RNA". It matches the Rfam family "Bacterial small subunit ribosomal RNA", at positions 523 to 918 of the family's 1533-position model. The record is from RNAcentral.
AUACGUAGGGGGCGAGCGUUGUCCGGAAUGAUUGGGCGUAAAGGGUGCGUAGGCGGCGCGGUAAGUCUGGAGUGAAAGUCCUGCUUUCAAGGUGGGAAUUGCUUUGGAUACUGCCGCGCUUGAGUGCAGGAGAGGUUAUCGGAAUUCCCGGUGUAGCGGUGAAAUGCGUAGAGAUCUGGAGGAACACCAGUGGCGAAGGCGGCUAACUGGACUGCAACUGACGCUGAGGCGAGAAAGUGUGGGUAGCAAGCAGGAUUAGAUACCCUGGUAGUCCACACUGUAAACGAUGAGUGCUAGGUGUAAGAGGUAUCGAGCCCUUUUGUGCCGGAGUCAACACAAUAAGCACUCCGCCUGGGGAGUACGGCCGCAAGGUUGAAACUUAAAGGAAUUGACGGGG